Molecule: ribosomal RNA, 497 nt
Filed under: uncultured Chloroflexota bacterium
Lineage: Bacteria; Bacillati; Chloroflexota
Description: bacterial SSU rRNA
Rfam family: Bacterial small subunit ribosomal RNA
Source: RNAcentral
AAGGAAUAUUGGACAAUGGGCGAAAGCCUGAUCCAGCGACACCGCGUGGGGGAAGAAGGCCCUCGGGUUGUAAACCCCUUUUCCCGGGGAAGAAAAAUGACGGUACCUGRKGAAUAAGCCCCGGCUAACUACGUGCCAGCAGCCGCGGUAAUACGUAGGAGGCGAGCGUUAUCCGGAUUUACUGGGCGUAAAGCGGGCGUAGGCGGCCUGUCAAGUCGGAUGUGAAAUCUCCCGGCUUAACUGGGAGGGUGCAUUCGAUACUGAUGGGCUAGAGUGCAGCAGAGGGAAGUGGAAUUCCCGGUGUAGUGGUGAAAUGCGUAGAUAUCGGGAAGAACACUAGUGGCGAAGGCGGCUUCCUGGGCUGUAACUGACGCUGAGGUCCGAAGGCGUGGGUAGCAAACAGGAUUAGAUACCCUGGUAGUCCACGCAGUAAACGAUGGAUACUAGGUAUAGGGAGUAUCGACCCUCUCUGUGCNRAANAACGCUUUAAGUAUCCC